AUUUAUAUAGUAUAACAAUUAUAUUUAACUUCCAAUUAAAAGAUCUAAAUAAUAUUAGUAUAAAUA
RNAcentral lists this transfer RNA (66 nucleotides) under Staphylinidae sp. BMNH 1274170. RNAcentral's name for it is "tRNA-Gly". The record is from RNAcentral. Lineage: Eukaryota; Metazoa; Arthropoda; Insecta; Coleoptera; Staphylinidae.